UAAGCGACUAAGCGUACACGGUGGAUGCCCUGGCAGUCAGAGGCGAUGAAGGACGUGCUAAUCUGCGAUAAGCGUCGGUAAGGUGAUAUGAACCGUUAUAACCGGCGAUUUCCGAAUGGGGAAACCCAGUGUGAUUCGUCACACUAUCAUUAACUGAAUCCAUAGGUUAAUGAGGCGAACCGGGGGAACUGAAACAUCUAAGUACCCCGAGGAAAAGAAAUCAACCGAGAUUCCCCCAGUAGCGGCGAGCGAACGGGGAGCAGCCCAGAGCCUGAAUCAGUGUGUGUGUUAGUGGAAGCGUCUGGAAAGGCGCGCGAUACAGGGUGACAGCCCCGUACACAAAAAUGCACAUACUGUGAGCUCGAUGAGUAGGGCGGGACACGUGGUAUCCUGUCUGAAUAUGGGGGGACCAUCCUCCAAGGCUAAAUACUCCUGACUGACCGAUAGUGAACCAGUACCGUGAGGGAAAGGCGAAAAGAACCCCGGCGAGGGGAGUGAAAAAGAACCUGAAACCGUGUACGUACAAGCAGUGGGAGCCUCUUUUAUGGGGUGACUGCGUACCUUUUGUAUAAUGGGUCAGCGACUUAUAUUCUGUAGCAAGGUUAACCGAAUAGGGGAGCCGAAGGGAAACCGAGUCUUAACCGGGCGUUAAGUUGCAGGGUAUAGACCCGAAACCCGGUGAUCUAGCCAUGGGCAGGUUGAAGGUUGGGUAACACUAACUGGAGGACCGAACCGACUAAUGUUGAAAAAUUAGCGGAUGACUUGUGGCUGGGGGUGAAAGGCCAAUCAAACCGGGAGAUAGCUGGUUCUCCCCGAAAGCUAUUUAGGUAGCGCCUCGUGAAUUCAUCUCCGGGGGUAGAGCACUGUUUCGGCAAGGGGGUCAUCCCGACUUACCAACCCGAUGCAAACUGCGAAUACCGGAGAAUGUUAUCACGGGAGACACACGGCGGGUGCUAACGUCCGUCGUGAAGAGGGAAACAACCCAGACCGCCAGCUAAGGUCCCAAAGUCAUGGUUAAGUGGGAAACGAUGUGGAAGGCCCAGACAGCCAGGAUGUUGGCUUAGAAGCAGCCAUCAUUUAAAGAAAGCGUAAUAGCUCACUGGUCGAGUCGGCCUGCGCGGAAGAUGUAACGGGGCUAAACCAUGCACCGAAGCUGCGGCAGCGACACUGUGUGUUGUUGGGUAGGGGAGCGUUCUGUAAGCCUGUGAAGGUGUACUGUAAGGUAUGCUGGAGGUAUCAGAAGUGCGAAUGCUGACAUAAGUAACGAUAAAGCGGGUGAAAAGCCCGCUCGCCGGAAGACCAAGGGUUCCUGUCCAACGUUAAUCGGGGCAGGGUGAGUCGACCCCUAAGGCGAGGCCGAAAGGCGUAGUCGAUGGGAAACAGGUUAAUAUUCCUGUACUUGGUGUUACUGCGAAGGGGGGACGGAGAAGGCUAUGUUGGCCGGGCGACGGUUGUCCCGGUUUAAGCGUGUAGGCUGGUUUUCCAGGCAAAUCCGGAAAAUCAAGGCUGAGGCGUGAUGACGAGGCACUACGGUGCUGAAGCAACAAAUGCCCUGCUUCCAGGAAAAGCCUCUAAGCAUCAGGUAACAUCAAAUCGUACCCCAAACCGACACAGGUGGUCAGGUAGAGAAUACCAAGGCGUUUGAGAGAACUCGGGUGAAGGAACUAGGCAAAAUGGUGCCGUAACUUCGGGAGAAGGCACGCUGAUAUGUAGGUGAAGUCCCUCGCGGAUGGAGCUGAAAUCAGUCGAAGAUACCAGCUGGCUGCAACUGUUUAUUAAAAACACAGCACUGUGCAAACACGAAAGUGGACGUAUACGGUGUGACGCCUGCCCGGUGCCGGAAGGUUAAUUGAUGGGGUCAGCGCAAGCGAAGCUCUUGAUCGAAGCCCCGGUAAACGGCGGCCGUAACUAUAACGGUCCUAAGGUAGCGAAAUUCCUUGUCGGGUAAGUUCCGACCUGCACGAAUGGCGUAAUGAUGGCCAGGCUGUCUCCACCCGAGACUCAGUGAAAUUGAACUCGCUGUGAAGAUGCAGUGUACCCGCGGCAAGACGGAAAGACCCCGUGAACCUUUACUAUAGCUUGACACUGAACAUUGAGCCUUGAUGUGUAGGAUAGGUGGGAGGCUUUGAAGUGUGGACGCCAGUCUGCAUGGAGCCGACCUUGAAAUACCACCCUUUAAUGUUUGAUGUUCUAACGUGGACCCGUGAUCCGGGUUGCGGACAGUGUCUGGUGGGUAGUUUGACUGGGGCGGUCUCCUCCUAAAGAGUAACGGAGGAGCACGAAGGUUGGCUAAUCCUGGUCGGACAUCAGGAGGUUAGUGCAAUGGCAUAAGCCAGCUUGACUGCGAGCGUGACGGCGCGAGCAGGUGCGAAAGCAGGUCAUAGUGAUCCGGUGGUUCUGAAUGGAAGGGCCAUCGCUCAACGGAUAAAAGGUACUCCGGGGAUAACAGGCUGAUACCGCCCAAGAGUUCAUAUCGACGGCGGUGUUUGGCACCUCGAUGUCGGCUCAUCACAUCCUGGGGCUGAAGUAGGUCCCAAGGGUAUGGCUGUUCGCCAUUUAAAGUGGUACGCGAGCUGGGUUUAGAACGUCGUGAGACAGUUCGGUCCCUAUCUGCCGUGGGCGCUGGAGAACUGAGGGGGGCUGCUCCUAGUACGAGAGGACCGGAGUGGACGCAUCACUGGUGUUCGGGUUGUCAUGCCAAUGGCACUGCCCGGUAGCUAAAUGCGGAAGAGAUAAGUGCUGAAAGCAUCUAAGCACGAAACUUGCCCCGAGAUGAGUUCUCCCUGACCCUUUAAGGGUCCUGAAGGAACGUUGAAGACGACGACGUUGAUAGGCCGGGUGUGUAAGCGCAGCGAUGCGUUGAGCUAACCGGUACUAAUGAACCGUGAGGCUUAACCU
This 2898-nucleotide ribosomal RNA is filed under the name Escherichia coli B94. RNAcentral's name for it is "bacterial LSU rRNA". It matches the Rfam family "Bacterial large subunit ribosomal RNA". Lineage: Bacteria; Pseudomonadati; Pseudomonadota; Gammaproteobacteria; Enterobacterales; Enterobacteriaceae. The record is from RNAcentral.